GACAAACGCUGGCGGCAUGCCUAACACAUGCAAGUCGAACGGACAGAACAGGGAAGCUUUUCGGAGUGGAACUGGAAAGUUAGUGGCGGAUGGGUGAGUAACGCGUGGACAACCUACCUUGUAAAGGGGAAUAACCUCGAGAAAUCGAAGCUAAUACCCCAUAAUAACCUUGCUUCGCAUGAAGUAAGGAGGAAAGGCGGCCUUAGCGCUGUCGAUACAAGAUGGGUCCGCGUCUGAUUAGCUAGUUGGUGAGGUAAAGGCUCACCAAGGCGACGAUCAGUAGCCGGCCUGAGAGGGUGAACGGCCACAUUGGGACUGAGACACGGCCCAAACUCCUACGGGAGGCAGCAGUGGGGAAUCUUCCGCAAUGGGCGAAAGUCUGACGGAGCAAUGCCGCGUGAGUGAAGAAGGCCUUCGGGUUGUAAAACUCUGUCCUUAUCGAAGAGAGAGUGUUGUAGUAACUGACAAUACUAGGACGGUAGAUGAGGAGGAAGCCCCGGCUAACUAUGUG
Molecule: ribosomal RNA, 511 nt
Filed under: uncultured bacterium
Lineage: Bacteria
Description: partial 16S ribosomal RNA
Rfam family: Bacterial small subunit ribosomal RNA
Source: RNAcentral